CGUAGUAACAACGAAUAGGCAGAAGUCAGCCAAGGUCAUAGUAGUAUCCUAUGGAUAUGAAGGAC
Non-coding RNA from Tetragenococcus halophilus NBRC 12172, 65 nucleotides. Lineage: Bacteria; Bacillati; Bacillota; Bacilli; Lactobacillales; Enterococcaceae. The record is from Rfam.